Molecule: long non-coding RNA, 768 nt
Organism: Amphiprion ocellaris (clown anemonefish)
Lineage: Eukaryota; Metazoa; Chordata; Actinopteri; Pomacentridae
Exons: 3
Source: RefSeq, a predicted model, not a curated record
GCAUGAAAACGGAAACAAGAAGUAUGCCGGCUCACUGUGCUGCAUACAAUUACACACUACGUCGUACGAUUGAGACAAGGAAACUUGGAAUGACUUUUCAUAGGUUUCCCAGAGACUAUGGGUUGAGGAGGAAUUGGAAGUUUGUCGGCUUAGACCUGGUGUCAUUCCAUCAGUGUUAAACUUCCCGGCUCAUCUUGGAAGAGUACGUGCCAGAAAGACCACGACCAAGCAGCCUUGAGAUCUUAGACAGCGUCUCCCUGAGGUCCCUCUCUAUCUCCCCACACAUCCACCAACCACUGGAACACAUCUCCAAAGUUCUGCUGGACCAGCUCAGCUUCCCCUCAGAAGAAGUGCUGCCACCUGCCAGAUGAAGGAGCCUUUUGAGAGGCAGCUGGCAUCGUGAUUGGACUGUACUUUGGUCUGUUCCAAUCCAGCUUCAGCUCCAGAGACGGCAGGCGGGACGAGUCAACGGAGGCCUGGUGGACGAAGGCAUGCAGCUGAGUACAAUCCAGAAAACAACAGAGGAGGAGUGCAGCAGCCCAGAGCCAGAACAACCAGAGUAGCAUCGUAUGUCUCUUAGAAAACAUCAUAGUAUAGCCUUUGGUAUGAAAAAAACGCCAUCAUAUACAUCGUAUAUUGUACAAAUAACAAGUCAAAGGAAAGAGACAUACAUUGUAGAAUUGUAGUAAUUGUGGGCUGACUGAUUUACUGAUUAUCAGUAUUUUAUUUUUUACUGAUUUACGGUAAUAAAUACAUUUAAAAAUGGUG